UCUCUCCGUACGGGGAAGGAUGAGAAGCUUCGACUAAGGUUCGAUUCGAGCGCAGCGAGAAAGCGUUGCCGUAGGCAACGACCCGAAGGGCGAAGCGCGCAGCGCUGAGUAAUCCUUCCCCCGUCAUCC
Molecule: small RNA, 129 nt
Filed under: Salmonella enterica
Lineage: Bacteria; Pseudomonadati; Pseudomonadota; Gammaproteobacteria; Enterobacterales; Enterobacteriaceae
Description: RtT sRNA
Rfam family: RtT RNA
About the family: This family represents a bacterial cis-regulatory element known as RtT RNA.
Source: RNAcentral